This 76-nucleotide transfer RNA is filed under the name Klebsiella pneumoniae. Its description in RNAcentral is "tRNA-Val". Lineage: Bacteria; Pseudomonadati; Pseudomonadota; Gammaproteobacteria; Enterobacterales; Enterobacteriaceae. The record is from RNAcentral.
GGGUGAUUAGCUCAGCUCGGAGAGCACCUCCCUUACCAGGAGGGGGUCGGCGGUACGAUCCCGUCAUCACCCACCA